AAAAAAAAAAGAGAGAAAAGUAGAAAAAAUGUGAAAAAAAAGUGAAGGUUGUGUUAGUGUGUAAUAAAAGUCAGCUUGCCGAAUUAUGGAUUUAAUGUUGAGAUUUUGGUUAAUAGUUGGACCAUUUGCUGAUAAAUGUUGUGUGUCAUUCCUUUUUCUUAGAUUAGUUAACCUGGAAUUAGAGGAGUUUGUGGUUUAGAAGCUAACCGGAGUGAUGUUUCUUGGACUUGACCAUUGAUGCUUGAAUAUUAUUUUUCUUGGUAUCUUGGCAAUUUGUUGGAUAGAGCAAUAGCCACUAUCAAAUAUUGGUGUUUGUUUCUUGUUCUCAUGCUUGAGGACAAGCAUGGUUUAGGUGUGGGGGGAAUUGAUAGGGUGUUAAUUGUUGGUAUUUUUAUUAUUAAUUUUCCCUUCUAUCCCUGACAAAUAUUGUGUUAAUUGCUGAUAUUUACUCAUAUUUGGUAUUUGGAAUCAAUUUCAGGAAUGAAGCAGAAAACUACCAAAAAGGAGGGACUUUGUGAAAAAUAUGGAGACUUCUAAGGGUUUCAAUCCUUGGGCCCUUGAAUUGGUGGGGGACCACAAGCUAGUGAAGUCAUUUGGGCUUCAAAGAAAGCAACGUAGAGAGACUUGGAACAAGAAGUACUUGGGAGGCUUUGUCCACAUGUGUGGGGACCACCUAGAUAGCUUUUAGUCAUCUUUCUUUUGUUGCUUUAAAAG
RNAcentral lists this long non-coding RNA (714 nucleotides) under Coffea arabica (coffee). Its description in RNAcentral is "long non-coding RNA (CARA_LNC004797)". Lineage: Eukaryota; Viridiplantae; Streptophyta; Magnoliopsida; Gentianales; Rubiaceae. The record is from RNAcentral.